This 45-nucleotide small RNA is filed under the name Arabidopsis thaliana (thale cress). RNAcentral's name for it is "ATSL233160". The record is from RNAcentral. Lineage: Eukaryota; Viridiplantae; Streptophyta; Magnoliopsida; Brassicales; Brassicaceae.
GCUUGUGGACGUAUACAGAUUGGUUGAAGACGAAGUAGAUAUUCC